RNAcentral lists this long non-coding RNA (3107 nucleotides) under Homo sapiens (human). Its description in RNAcentral is "HSALNT0357366". Lineage: Eukaryota; Metazoa; Chordata; Mammalia; Primates; Hominidae. The record is from RNAcentral.
CUGACCUCGUGAUCUGCCUGCCUCGGCCUCCCAAAGUGCCGGGAUUACAGGCGUGAGCCACCGCGCCGGGCCUGAUUUCAGUUUCUUCCAGCCCUUCCUAUUGUUAACAUGGGGGUUGUGUUGAAGAAUAUAAAGUUACAAAGUCAAGGAAGUAGGAAACAUUUUUACAAGUAUUAUGUAGCCAUCUUGGUGGGGCUGUGGUGAGGUAGGCUGCAAAUGAUUCUCCUAUUUCUUUCCCUGAGUUCAGAACAUAGGAAUUAGAUUGAUAGACAUCAACAUACCCGCUUUAUUGCUGACUCAUGACAACUAAUGGGAAGACAUGGCUCAGAUGUGCAGCCACAGUGAGCUUCUGAACAUUUCUUCUCAGACUAAGCUCUUACACACAGUUGCAGUUGAAAGAAAGAAUUGCUUGACAUGGCCACAGGAGCAGGCAGCUUCCUGCAGACAUGACAGUCAACGCAAACUCAUGUCACUGUGGGCAGACACAUGUUUGCAAAGAGACUCAGAGCCAAACAAGCACACUCAAUGUGCUUUGCCCAAAUUUACCCAUUAGGUAAAUCUUCCCUCCUCCCAAGAAGAAAGUGGAGAGAGCAUGAGUCCUCACAUGGAAACUUGAAGUCAGGGAAAUGAAGGCUCACCAAUUAUUUGUGCAUGGGUUUAAGUUUUCCUUGAAAUUAAGUUCAGGUUUGUCUUUGUGUGUACCAAUUAAUGACAAGAGGUUAGAUAGAAGUAUGCUAGAUGGCAAAGAGAAAUAUGUUUUGUGUCUUCAAUUUUGCUAAAAAUAACCCAGAACAUGGAUAAUUCAUUUAUUAAUUGAUUUUGGUAAGCCAAGUCCUAUUUGGAGAAAAUUAAUAGUUUUUCUAAAAAAGAAUUUUCUCAAUAUCACCUGGCUUGAUAACAUUUUUCUCCUUCGAGUUCCUUUUUCUGGAGUUUAACAAACUUGUUCUUUACAAAUAGAUUAUAUUGACUACCACUCACUGAUGUUAUGAUAUUAGUUUCUAUUGCUUACUUUGUAUUUCUAAUUUUAGGAUUCACAAUUUAGCUGGAGAACUAUUUUUUAACCUGUUGCACCUAAACAUGAUUGAGCUAGAAGACAGUUUUACCAUAUGCAUGCAUUUUCUCUGAGUUAUAUUUUAAAAUCUAUACAUUUCUCCUAAAUAUGGAGGAAAUCACUGGCAUCAAAUGCCAGUCUCAGACGGAAGACCUAAAGCCCAUUUCUGGCCUGGAGCUACUUGGCUUUGUGACCUAUGGUGAGGCAUAAGUGCUCUGAGUUUGUGUUGCCUCUUUUGUAAAAUGAGGGUUUGACUUAAUCAGUGAUUUUCAUAGCUUAAAAUUUUUUUGAAGAACAGAACUUUUUUUAAAAACAGUUAGAUGCAACCAUAUUAUAUAAAACAGAACAGAUACAAGUAGAGCUAACUUGCUAAAGAAAGGAUGGAGGCUCUGAAGCUGUGACUUCAUUAUCCCUUAAUACUGCUAUGUCCUCUGUAGUACCUUAGAUUUCUAUGGGACAUCGUUUAAAAACUAUUGUUUAUGCGAGAGCCUUGCUAAUUUCCUAAAAAUUGUGGAUACAUUUUUUCUCCCAUGUAUAAUUUUCUCACCUUCUAUUUAAAAAGAAAAAAAAAGUCAGUGUAGUAUUUACAUAUUUUACCCUAUAAGGAGCUAACAUAACUUUUGAUUUAGUGUUAUUCAUAAAAUUAGGUUAGCAGUUUAUUAACCUUUUGUAUUUGCUCUGGCAAUGUUUAAUAUCUCAUAAGCUAUACACACCUCGAAGCCAUCAAUGACAACCUUUUCUUGCUGAAUAGAACAGUGAUUGAUGUCAUGAAGACAAUUUUAUCUCCUUUUGCCUUCCAUAAUUUGUACCAGGUUAUAUAAUAGUAUAACACUGCCAAGGAGCGGAUUAUCUCAUCUUCAUCCUGUAAUUCCAGUGUUUGUCACGUGGUUGUUGAAUAAAUGAAUAAAGAAUGAGAAAACCAGAAGCUCUGAUACAUAAUCAUAAUGAUAAUUAUUUCAAUGCACAACUACGGGUGGUGCUGAACUAGAAUCUAUAUUUUCUGAAACUGGCUCCUCUAGGAUCUACUAAUGAUUUAAAUCUAAAAGAUGAAGUUAGUAAAGCAUCAGAAAAAAAAGGUAAACAAAUUGCUCCUGUGGAGAUGAUUGGCAUCACAUGGUGUUUUGAGCUGAUACACCCAACACUUGAGCUCACUGCAACAGUACCAGGACUGCAUAAUAGAUCACCACAAUCAUAACAUCUUAGGACCACAGACAUUUAUGAGAUCAUGGCUUCUGUGGGUUAGAAGUAUGCUCAUGUCUUAACUGGGUCCUCUGCUCAGUCUUAUCUGGCUGCAAUCAAGGUGUCAGCUGGGCUGAAUUUUCAUUUGGAAUCUUGACUGGGAAAGAGUCUGCUUCCAAGGUCAUGAAGUUUGCUGGCAAAAUGUAUGUUUUUAUGACAGUAUGACUGAAAUCCCAAGCUAUCUCCUGACUUUUAGCUGGGUAAUCUCAGGCCCUAAAUGUUGCCUACAGUUCCUAGAGGCUGGUCACAGUUCUUAGCCAUGUGGAUUUCCUCAACAUGGCUGCUUGCUUCAUCAAGUCAGCAAGAAUAGCCUGUCAUAUCAGUGUAUAUCAGGCUCACUCAGGAUAAUUUCCCUACUGAUGAGCCAAACACUAACUGAUUUUAGAGCUUAACUACAUCUGCAAAAUUCUGUUCACCAGAGGCAAGUCAUAUUCAGGGAAAGAGAAGUGUACAAAGUGAGAACACCAAGGUGCAAAAAUCACUGGAGCUACCAUUAUAAUUGUAGUAAUAAAAUUCUCUUCUAAUACUAGGUCUCAAAGUUUCAUUGUGAAUCAAAGUUCAAUUUUACAAAGUAAAAAUUACUUAUUUUGCAUCUAUUGAGAUGAUCAUUUAAGAAACCAUUUGUUACUUGUGUUGAAUUGCAUUACAUUAUUUACUCUUGUUAAUCUAACCUUGCAUUUGUCCGAUAAACUGAACUUGAUUGUGAUAAUACUUUGUUUUUAUUCAUUGCUACUUUUGGUAUGUUGAUAUUCUGCUUAGGACUCUUUUAAUCUGUCUUUUCAUGUGAUGAUAAUAAAGAGAAUUUUCAAUACUUUAA